AGAGUUUGAUUAUGGCUCAGGAUGAACGCUGGCGGCGUGCCUAACACAUGCAAGUCGAGCGGAGAUAGUUGAAGCCUAGCGAUUACUAUCUUAGCGGCGGAUGGGGUGAGUAACACGUGGGUAACCUGCCCUGUACUGGGGAAUGACAGCUGGAAACGGCUGUUAAUGCCGCAUAUGCGCACGGAGCCGCAUGGCCCUGGGCGGAAAGAUUUAUCGGUACAGGAUGGGCCCGCGUCGGAUUAACUUGUUGGCGGGGUAACGGCCCACCAAGGUGAUGAUCCGUAGCCGACCUGAGAGGGUGACCGGCCACAUUGGGACUGAGACACGGCCCAAACUCCUACGGGAGGCAGCAGUGGGGGAUAUUGCACAAUGGGGGAAACCCUGAUGCAGCGACGCCGCGUGAAGGAUGACGUAUUUCGGUAUGUAAACUUCUAUCAGCGGGGAAGAAGAUGACGGUACCCGACUAAGAAGCCCCGGCUAACUACGUGCCAGCAGCAGC
Molecule: ribosomal RNA, 499 nt
Filed under: uncultured bacterium
Lineage: Bacteria
Description: bacterial SSU rRNA
Rfam family: Bacterial small subunit ribosomal RNA
Source: RNAcentral